This 76-nucleotide transfer RNA is filed under the name Cavia porcellus (domestic guinea pig). It matches the Rfam family "tRNA". Rfam says of the family: Transfer RNA (tRNA) molecules are approximately 80 nucleotides in length. Their secondary structure includes four short double-helical elements and three loops (D, anti-codon, and T loops). Lineage: Eukaryota; Metazoa; Chordata; Mammalia; Rodentia; Caviidae. The record is from Rfam by way of RNAcentral.
GGGGAUUUAGCUCAGCGGCAUAAGUACCUGCCUUGCAAGCAGGCAGUCAAGCAGGCAGUCGUGAGUUCAAUCCCUG